UACACAAUGGAUAAAGAAUUAAUAAUGAUUUUUAAACCUUCACUACUAAUUUUAAUCCUAUUGGACUCUUUCGAGGAUAAGCUCGAAAGUUGUUGUUGAGAGCUAUAUUAUUAUAAAGUUUGUUGUGUAGGCCUAAAAUUAGCUACCACAAAAGUUUGUUAUAAAAUAACAAAAAUCACAUAAAAUAUUAUUAUAUAUAGUGCCACUAAAAACUAUAAGGAUAACAAUCUAAACUUAAAGGGUUGUUGUACCUAUGCUAGGAUGAGUAUUAUAAAUCAUUUAGAUCAAAAAACAAAAGUGUUUCUAAGAAGGUAUUUUUAAUAUUAAUUAAUGAGAAGGAACUCGGCAAAUGUUGUUCCGCCUGUUUAUCAAAAACAUGGCUCUUUGAAAAAAAACAUAUAAAGAGUCGAACCUGCCCAGUGAAAUUUCAACGGCCGCGGUACCCUGACCGUGCAAAGGUAGCAUAAUCAUUUGCCUUAUAAUUGAAGGCUGGCAUGAAUGGUCUGACGAGAACAAUACUGUCUCCUCUUUAUUAUUUAGAAAUUAACUUGUAGGUGAAGAGGCCUAUAUUAAAUUGAAGGACAAGAAGACCCUGUCGAGCUUUUUAAAUAAAAAUAGGAGUUUUUUAUUAAAAAAAAAUCAAUAAACUGUAUGUAAUUUUUAGUUGGGGCGACGAAGGAACAAAUAAAGCUUCUUUUAUUUUAUAAAUCUAUGAAUCUAGAUCCAGCAAAGCCGAUCAGAAAAAUUAGUUACCGCAGGGAUAACAGCAUAAUCUUCUUUGAGAGACCUAAUCGAAAAGAGGGGUUGUGACCUCGAUGUUGGACUAGAAUAUCCUAGGGAUGCAGCCGUCU
Molecule: ribosomal RNA, 851 nt
Filed under: Plotiopsis balonnensis
Lineage: Eukaryota; Metazoa; Mollusca; Gastropoda; Thiaridae
Description: partial large subunit ribosomal RNA
Rfam family: Archaeal large subunit ribosomal RNA (bases 317-568)
Source: RNAcentral